This 449-nucleotide ribosomal RNA is filed under the name uncultured bacterium. Its description in RNAcentral is "bacterial SSU rRNA". It matches the Rfam family "Bacterial small subunit ribosomal RNA", at positions 354 to 796 of the family's 1533-position model. The record is from RNAcentral.
GUAGGGAAUCUUCCGCAAUGGACGAAAGUCUGACGGAGCAACGCCGCGUGAGUGAUGAAGGUUUUCGGAUCGUAAAGCUCUGUUGCCAGGGAAGAACGCCUCGGAGAGUAACUGCUCCGAGGGUGACGGUACCUGAGAAGAAAGCCCCGGCUAACUACGUGCCAGCAGCCGCGGUAAUACGUAGGGGGCAAGCGUUGUCCGGAAUUAUUGGGCGUAAAGCGCGCGCAGGCGGUUCAUUAAGUCUGGUGUCUAAGGCUGGGGCUCAACCCCGGUUCGCACUGGAAACUGGUGAACUUGAGUGCAGAAGAGGAAAGUGGAAUUCCACGUGUAGCGGUGAAAUGCGUAGAGAUGUGGAGGAACACCAGUGGCGAAGGCGACUUUCUGGGCUGUAACUGACGCUGAGGCGCGAAAGCGUGGGGAGCAAACAGGAUUAGAUACCCUUGUAGUCC